GAAGGGUAGAGCUCAGUGGUAGAUUGCAUGCCUAGCAUGCACGAGGGCCUGGGUUCAAUCCCCAGGACCUUCA
Camelus ferus (Wild Bactrian camel) is the source of this 73-nucleotide non-coding RNA. The record is from Rfam. Lineage: Eukaryota; Metazoa; Chordata; Mammalia; Artiodactyla; Camelidae.